GCUUACGGCCAUACCACCCUGAAUGUGCCCGAUCUCCUCUGAUCUCGAAGCUAAGCAGCAUCAGGCCUGGUUAGUACUUGCAUGUGUGACCGUCUGGGAAUACCAGGUGCUGUAAGCU
Molecule: ribosomal RNA, 118 nt
Filed under: Larimichthys crocea (large yellow croaker)
Lineage: Eukaryota; Metazoa; Chordata; Actinopteri; Sciaenidae
Source: RNAcentral